Molecule: ribosomal RNA, 407 nt
Filed under: uncultured bacterium
Lineage: Bacteria
Description: partial 16S ribosomal RNA
Rfam family: Bacterial small subunit ribosomal RNA
Source: RNAcentral
GACGAACGCUGGCGGCGUGCCUAAUACAUGCAAGUAGGACGCAGUUGCGAACGGGUGAGUAACGCGUAGGUAACUGCAUAUUAGAGGGGGAGAACAGUUGGAAACGAUCGCUAACACCGCAUACUAGUAGAUGGAACGGCGUUGUAUUAGCUAGUAGGUAUGGUAAUGGCCUACUUAGGAGACGAUACAUAGCCGCCCUGUGAGGGUGAUCGUCCACCCUGGGACUGAGACCCGGCCCAGGCUCCUACGGGAGGCAGCAGUAGGGAAUCUUCGGCAAUAGGGGGAACCCUGACCGAGCAACGCCGCGUGAGUGAAGAAGGUGUUCGGAUCGUAAAGCUCUGUUGUUAAGGAAGCGGUACUUAACCAGAAAGGGACGGCUAACUACGUGCCAGCCGCCGCGGUAAUAC